RNAcentral lists this ribosomal RNA (425 nucleotides) under uncultured bacterium. RNAcentral's name for it is "partial 16S ribosomal RNA". It matches the Rfam family "Bacterial small subunit ribosomal RNA", at positions 354 to 796 of the family's 1533-position model. The record is from RNAcentral.
GUGGGGAAUAUUGGACAAUGGGCGAAAGCCUGAUCCAGCAAUGCCGCGUGAGUGAUGAAGGCCUUAGGGUUGUAAAGCUCUUUUACCAGGGAUGAUAAUGACAGUACCUGGAGAAUAAGCUCCGGCUAACUCCGUGCCAGCAGCCGCGGUAAUACGGAGGGAGCUAGCGUUGUUCGGAAUUACUGGGCGUAAAGCGCGCGUAGGCGGUUACUCAAGUCAGAGGUGAAAGCCCGGGGCUCAACCCCGGAACCGCCUUUGAAACUAGGUGACUAGAAUAUUGGAGAGGUCAGUGGAAUUCCGAGUGUAGAGGUGAAAUUCGUAGAUAUUCGGAAGAACACCAGUGGCGAAGGCGACUGACUGGACAAGUAUUGACGCUGAGGUGCGAAAGCGUGGGGAGCAAACAGGAUUAGAUACCCCAGUAGUCC